RNAcentral lists this ribosomal RNA (253 nucleotides) under uncultured bacterium. RNAcentral describes it as "partial 16S ribosomal RNA". It matches the Rfam family "Bacterial small subunit ribosomal RNA", at positions 524 to 776 of the family's 1533-position model. The record is from RNAcentral.
UACGUAGGGUGCGAGCGUUAAUCGGAAUUACUGGGCGUAAAGCGUGCGCAGGCGGUUUUGUAAGCCAGAUGUGAAAGCCCCGGGCUCAACCUGGGAAUGGCAUUUGGGACUGCAAGGCUGGAGUUUGGCAGAGGAGACUGGAAUUCCCGGUGUAGCAGUGAAAUGCGUAGAGAUGUGGAGGAAUACCGAUGGCGAAGGCAGCCCCCUGGGAUAACACUGACGCUCAUGCACGAAAGCGUGGGGAGCAAACAGG